This 534-nucleotide ribosomal RNA is filed under the name uncultured fungus. RNAcentral's name for it is "eukaryotic LSU rRNA". The stretch from base 160 to 314 matches the Rfam family "5.8S ribosomal RNA". Lineage: Eukaryota; Fungi. The record is from RNAcentral.
GCAUGUGCACGCUCUGUUCACACAUCCACUCACACCUGUGCACCCUCUGUAGUUCUAUGGUCUGGGGGACGCAUGUCCUCCUCCUGUAGUUCUACGUCUUUACACAUACACCGUAGUGGAGUCUUAUGGAAGUGCAUCGCGUUUAACGCAAUAAAAUACAACUUUCAGCAACGGAUCUCUUGGCUCUCGCAUCGAUGAAGAACGCAGCGAAAUGCGAUAAGUAAUGUGAAUUGCAGAAUUCAGUGAAUCAUCGAAUCUUUGAACGCACCUUGCGCCCCUUGGCUAUUCCGAGGGGCAUGCCUGUUUGAGUAUCAUGAACACCUCAACUCUCAUGGUUCGCCGUGAUGAGCUUGGACUUUGGGGGUUUUGCUGGCCUACGGUCAGCUCCUCUCAAACAAAUCAGCCUGCCAGUGUUUGGUGGCAUCACAGGUGUGAUAACUAUCUACGCUUGUGGUUGCCCACCAGGUAACCUUCAGCAAUGGAGGAUCGCUGGAGCUUAUAAAUGUCUUUCCUCAGUGAAGACAGCUUUUUGAA